UACGAAGGGUGCAAGCGUUAUUCGGAAUUACUGGGCGUAAAGCGCGCGUAGGUGGUUUGUUAAGUCUGAUGUGAAAGCCCUGGGCUCAACCUGGGAAUUGCAUUGGAUACUGGCAGGCUAGAGUGCGGUAGAGGGUAGUGGAAUUCCCGGUGUAGCAGUGAAAUGCGUAGAGAUCGGGAAGAACACCGGUGGCGAAGGCGGCUACCUGGACCGGCACUGACACUGAGGCGCGAAAGCGUGGGGAGCAAACAGG
This 253-nucleotide ribosomal RNA is filed under the name uncultured bacterium. RNAcentral describes it as "partial 16S ribosomal RNA". It matches the Rfam family "Bacterial small subunit ribosomal RNA", at positions 524 to 776 of the family's 1533-position model. The record is from RNAcentral.